Molecule: unclassified non-coding RNA, 200 nt
Filed under: Scleroderma sp.
Lineage: Eukaryota; Fungi; Basidiomycota; Agaricomycetes; Boletales; Sclerodermataceae
Description: partial internal transcribed spacer 2
Source: RNAcentral
UUAAGUUCGGCGGGUAGUCCUACCUGAUUUGAGGUCAAGCUUCGAUGGGACGCGGCCGUCCCUCGCAAGGGGACGGGCUCGCAAGGGUUGCGAAGCAUGGGUCCGCCAAGCCUUACGCUUCCAGCCCACGACGAUCAUUACGACGUCGAAGAGGCCGUGCCACGCCAGGCUCGCCACCCACGGCUAAUGCUUUUGAGGAG